This 314-nucleotide long non-coding RNA is filed under the name dengue virus type 2. Its description in RNAcentral is "Dengue virus 2 partial sfRNA1". The stretch from base 243 to 314 matches the Rfam family "Flavivirus DB element". Lineage: Riboviria; Orthornavirae; Kitrinoviricota; Flasuviricetes; Amarillovirales; Flaviviridae. The record is from RNAcentral.
CAGAAGUCAGGUCGGAUUAAGCCAUAGUACGGAAAAAACUAUGCUACCUGUGAGCCCCGUCCAAGGACGUUAAAAGAAGUCAGGCCACUACAAGUGCCAUAGCUUGAGCAAACUAUGCAGCCUGUAGCUCCACCUGAGAAGGUGUAAAAAAUCUGGGAGGCCACAAACCAUGGAAGCUGUACGCAUGGCGUAGUGGACUAGCGGUUAGAGGAGACCCCUCCCUUACAAAUCGCAGCAACAAUGGGGGCCCAAGGUGAGAUGAAGCUGUAGUCUCACUGGAAGGACUAGAGGUUAGAGGAGACCCCCCCGAAAUA